Molecule: ribosomal RNA, 484 nt
Filed under: uncultured bacterium
Lineage: Bacteria
Description: partial 16S ribosomal RNA
Rfam family: Bacterial small subunit ribosomal RNA
Source: RNAcentral
AUUGAACGCUGGCGGCAUGCUUUACACAUGCAAGUCGAACGGCAGCGCGGGCUUCGGCCUGGCUGCGAGUGGCGAACGGGUGAGUAAUACAUCGGAACGUGCCCAGUAGUGGUGGAUAGCUCGUCGAGAGCAGGAUUAAUACUGCAUACGACCUGAGGGUGAAAGCGGGGGAUCUUCGGACCUCGCGCUCUUGGGGCGGCCGAUGGCAGAUUUGCUAGUUGGUGGGGUAAAGGCCUACCAAGGCGACGAUCUGUAGCUGGUCUGAGAGGACGACAAGCCACACUGGGACUGAGACACGGCCCAGGCUCCUACGGGAGGCAGCAGUGGGGAAUGUUGGACAAUGGGCGAAAGUCUGAUCCAGCAAUGCCGCGUGUGUGAUGAAGGCCUUCGGGUUGUAAAGCACUCUUGGCGGGAACGAAAAGGACUGUGCCAAUACCACGGUUGGAUGACGGUACCCGCAGAAUAAGCACCGGCUAACUACGUG